This 427-nucleotide ribosomal RNA is filed under the name uncultured bacterium. RNAcentral describes it as "bacterial SSU rRNA". It matches the Rfam family "Bacterial small subunit ribosomal RNA", at positions 917 to 1345 of the family's 1533-position model. The record is from RNAcentral.
GGGCCCGCACAAGCGGUGGAGUAUGUGGUUUAAUUCGAUGCAACGCGAAGAACCUUACCAGGGUUUGACAUCCUGCGAAUCUCUUGGAAACAGGAGAGUGCCUUCGGGAACGCAGUGACAGGUGGUGCAUGGCUGUCGUCAGCUCGUGUCGUGAGAUGUUGGGUUAAGUCCCGCAACGAGCGCAACCCUUAUCCUAUGUUGCCAGCAUUUAGUUGGGGACUCGUAGGAGACUGCCGGGGUCAACUCGGAGGAAGGUGGGGAUGACGUCAAGUCAUCAUGCCCCUUAUGCCCAGGGCUGCAAACACGCUACAAUGGCUGGUACAGAGGGCUGCGAACCCGCGAGGGCAAGCGAAUCCCAUAAAGCCAGUCUCAGUUCGGAUUGGAGUCUGCAACUCGACUCCAUGAAGUCGGAAUCGCUAGUAAUCGU